Molecule: ribosomal RNA, 1015 nt
Filed under: uncultured Neocallimastigales
Lineage: Eukaryota; Fungi; Neocallimastigomycota; Neocallimastigomycetes; Neocallimastigales
Description: partial large subunit ribosomal RNA
Rfam family: Eukaryotic large subunit ribosomal RNA (bases 231-1015)
Source: RNAcentral
CGCAUCUGUGCAUGCAGCAUAUCAAUAAGCGGAGGAAAAGGCUGCGGAACUGAACGACUGCUACCUACGCUUAGGAUGUUGAUGCAUAUCAAUAAGCGGAGGAAAAGGGGGCUAUUACCUACGCUUAGGAUGUUGACAUACGCGCGUGCUCGACUCUAUACAUGACUCUGUGCAUAUCAAUAAGCGGAGGAAAAGGAGUAUACCUACGCUUAGGAUGUUGACGAGACUGUCGAUCUCAUCUAUACAUGACUCUGUGCAUAUCAAUAAGCGGAGGAAAAGAAACUAACAAUGAUUCCCCUAGUAACGGCGAGUGAAGCGGGAAGAGCUCAAAUUUGAAAUCUUAAAGGGUUUCCCUUUACGAAUUGUAGUUUAAAGAAGUGUUUUCUGUUGAGGUUUUGGUAAAAGUUCUUUGGAAUAGGACAUCAUAGAGGGUGAGAAUCCCGUAUUUGACCUUUACUUUCAACUUUGUGAUACACUUUCAAAGAGUCGGAUUGUUUGGGAAUGCAGUCCAGAAAUGGGUGGUAAAUUUCAUCUAAAGCUAAAUAUUGGCGAGAGACCGAUAGCGAACAAGUACCGUGAGGGAAAGAUGAAAAGAACUUUGAAAAGAGAGUUAAACAGUACGUGAAAUUGUCAAAAGGGAAGCGUUUGACACCAGUGUUGUUUUUCUGAAAAUCAAUUAAAGAACUGUUUAUGCUAAGCUGUUUAGACUUUAUCAGCUAUCAUGUUUAGUUCUGAGCUUUUCUUUAAUGCACUUUUCAGUUAACAAGUCAACAUCAAUUUCUUUUGCUGUAAAAAAGCUUGAGGAAGGUGGCUUGAGAUUCGUCUUAAGUGUUUAUAGCCUCUUGCCUAUGCAGUCGGAGAGAUUGAGGUCUGCAGCGUAGAUCCUUCGGGGCUAAAUGCAUUUGUGCUAAGUUAUAGCAUUUUAUAGACAACUUGUUGACUAUGAUUUGUCUUGUAGCUUACUCGCUUAUGUUAUUUUACCUACGCUUAGGAUGUUGAAGAUAUGCGCGACACG